AUCUUGGGCAUAGUUCUUAACCUCCCUAGUCUUGUUUCUUUACAGGGGUAUUUGGAAGGAUAAAUCAAAUACAAACGAUACUGCCAAUAUUUGAACAAAUAGAGAAAAUUAAUUGUACACCUCCCACUCUGCCUUAGGCCCGUUGGUCCCUUCUCUGUUUCCAGAAUAUGCUUGGUGCUGCACCUGGGGAACUUUUGUUACUUCCUCUGCUGGCAACGCUCCUCCAUUGGAUAGCCACAGGUCUUGCUCCGUCCGCUCCUCACCUCUUUACUGUGAUGAAAUUACACACCUCUAACACUUCCCAUCUGCCUUUUCCCUGCUUUAAUUCUCUUCUUAGUGCUCAGCACUCUCUAACAUUCUACAUACGUCUUUGUCAUAUCAUCUUUGGCCAUCUCCACCAGAAUGCAAUCCUUGGGACUGCUAAGCAAGGUUAAGGUACAGUCCACGUGCUGUUCAGCCCCCUGCCACAGGCAGGAACACUUGGCAAGUCUGAGCAGUUCAGGAUGCUGUGGCCUCCCCCCACUCACAGUGGCAGCACUUCCGUCAGGUUUCACACUGUUGUGUCUCCAGAUCCUGAGCUCCUGCAACGUGCCUGGCAGCACGCGGCGGGCACUCGUUUAUUGUAGGCAUACGUCAGUGAACAACAGAAUGAACGCUCAAGGCUUCCCUAUAUUGUUUUUUGUCUUUCCUCAUAGGCAGGAAUGUGAAAGGUCAGAGGAUAAAAAGACAAAUGAAUAAAGAGCUUAAACAAAGGUAAUUAAGGAAAGAAGAAUGGCAGAAGGUUAAGAAGAGGAAGGCCUUAGCUUUGGAACAUUCUGAACCAGGUCAGUUCAGCUGCAGCUGAAGCCACGGUGGUGUCAUACAGUGUUCGCAAGACAAAUCUCGCAGAUGCAGAAGUGGGCACGUAGAAAUGACGACCACCAGGAAAGUAAAAGCUUGUCCUCCCCAGUGGAGGAAGAAGGCAUUGCUGGAGAACUGACUUGCUUCCUCAACUGAACCUACGCGGUUAUAAAACGUGAGCCUCCUCCAUCUAGGAAACACCACGCUCUGUGAUUUCACUGGUGAGGCAGAGGACAGCUGUAGUGGAGGGCGAAGCCAAUGAAGAGUCUGUCGAAGGUGGCAUCACUGGGAGGUGGCAGACUCUGUAUGGAUCCCAUGCCGCCUCUCUCGGGGGUGAGUGUGCAUUCCACCACAAGGUGGGAGCCCCGGAAAAUCAUCCAGGCAGCACACUGCAAAUGGUGGUAUGUCUACCACCAUUCAGAUUCGACUCUAGAUAGAUACCCGUUCUUCUCUGCUAGACUUCAUAUUGUGAGUACACGGCCAAUAGGUAAGUAAAUGUAUGAGGAGGGCAGUUCAUAAAGCCAUCAGUGCAAUGAAGAAAACGAUCAAGGACACUGUCAUGAGGAGUCACUUCAGUUGGGUGGUCGGGGAGAUGUGUCUGAGAAGGAAACCUGACACCGAAACAAGAAUAAUGGUACGGAACUGCCAUCGAAAGAUUGGGAGGGCGCGAUCCAGAGGUUUGCAGAGAGAGGGAGGAGCUAGAGCAGCAAGGGUCCGAAGGCAGAAUCGGACUGGGUGUGUUUGAGGAGAGACGGCAAGGAGCCCGCAGUCUGAGGACAGUAUGAGGGGAGAUCAAAAUGAGAUGGCAAGGGGUCUGAGGACACAGAGGGCCUAGAGAUCAUUAACUUCAUGAAGAAACAGUACUGAUAACAUACUCCCCUUCAUGUUUAUGUGUGGUGCUCCUAAUUCACUUGCCGGGAAAACGAAACAUGACCAGAAGAGAACUGGUUUGAACUGAACUGAAUAAAACGCCAUGCAGCUGCUUUUCUCCGUUCCCUUGUCCACACUCUUAUUUCCUCUGCUGUUAAGAAGAAGGCUGGCUAAGCCCAAGAGGGGGGCCUAUGACAGUAGAAUGAAGUGAAGAUGGUCGCACCAGAUACGAAUAUACGGAGUGCAUUUGAGAGAAAAAUCAUGUGGACCAAUUCCCAGCUUUGGUUUGUAACUAAACACCACCAUUCCCACCUUCAAGAUAAACUAAUGAUGGUGUGUGUCACAGUAAAUAGGAUAAACACAAAAGUAAACAGGAAAGAAGUCAUAUGACUCAUGAAAAGCUCUCCAAAAUUUGUUUCCACAGAUAUUUGUUUAACUGAGCCGAGCCAAUGAAGAGCUCUUUCAUUCAGUAACCAAUCCAGAAAACUACAAUGUCAACAUUUCCAUUUCUGAAGUGGAGAUUACCAUCAGCAUCUUGAAUGAGAAAAUCAGACUAAGUGUUCAUAUCCUUUCCUCAUGGAUCUCGGCCAGAGAAGUUUCCGGCUCACUCACCUUUGGGUUCGUGUGAUUCAUCAUCACUAUCCGAGCUAUCAUUACUCACAAUAUGCUUUGUUGUAAUAUUUUCUGUGAAAAGGAGACAAGACAAUUGAAGCAUCUUAGGUGUCAAAAUUCACAAAUUUAUUAUAAAGAAGUAAUCCGAGCAAAACCACAGAAUGAGACCUACUAGCUCUGCUAGUCUAAAUUUAAACCCGUUUAAUAAAUACAGAUGUAUUAGAUUUAAUCUUGUUUUCAGAUUUCUCACCAGAAACAAAAUUUCCUAGGAUAUGAAAAAUUAGUGUAUAUUUGUUAAUUCAUGAUUUAAAGAGGAUAAUUUUUAUGUUAAUCAUGAUUCCAACAAAAAGCACAACUUGAUUAUAGGAAGCUCUUGUUAUACCAAAAAAUACUUGUUUUUCUUCAUUAUUUUUAAGUGGUGUUUAUGAAGGUAGCGGAUAAAACCAGAACCUACAGGGGAGUACAGAACAGUUUUCUUUAAAUGAAUGAAAGAUAUUAACAUAUAUUAUCUUUUGAUUUCCAAUAAUAUUGUAAAAUUGUCAGUUGAAAUUCACCUUCUGAUGUCAAGAAUUUGUGCUUUCUGCAGAACAUAUUAAGAGAACAGUUAUAAAAACUAAAAUAACAACCAGAAAUCCUUAAAACAAAGACAGCAGUAAAAUCUAGCAUGAUGACUAGUUAUCUGUUUUCUGUUUUUAAACGGUUAUCCAGGCUGGGCUGCAGCAGCAUGACCCCUGCUCACUUCAACCUCUGCCUCUGUGCUCAAACAAUCCUUCCACCUUAGCCUCCUGAGUAGCUGGGUCUAUGGGAUGGACCAUCAUACUUGGCUAAUUUUUUUAUUUUUAUUUUUUGUAGAAAUGAGGUCUCACUCUAUUGCCUAGGCUGAUCUCAAACUCCUCCACCCAGGCAAUCUUCCUGCCGUGGCCUCCUAAAGGGCCGGGAUCAUAGGCAUGAGCCACCGUGCCCAGCCUAGUUGUCUGUUUCAAGUAAAAUGUCAUGAAUGAUCAAGGCUAUGUAAUGGAAGGGUUAAUAAAUGCUUAAGACAGUGGAUUGACAUUUUUUUUUUUUUUUUACUGGCAUGACUAUACAUUUGAUAAAAUGUUCACAAGCCAAUAUUAUUAGUUUCAUUUCAUGACUAUUAUCAAUAGUAAUUUUGUUACACGAAGGUAUGGGAGAUGUUAAGGAAUGAUCUACUCCAGGUGACAUAUAAUUAGAUGUGUUUCUAGACCUACACGUAUUUUGUUUUCCUUCCUUUUGCAUUUUCUUUCUUCCUUUCUCCCAUCCAUUUCUUCUUUCCUUCUUUCCUUCCUUCCUUCCUUUCUCUCUCUUUCUUUUCUUUCUGUCACAUUUGAUAGUU
Molecule: non-coding RNA, 3676 nt
Organism: Callithrix jacchus (white-tufted-ear marmoset)
Lineage: Eukaryota; Metazoa; Chordata; Mammalia; Primates; Cebidae
Source: RefSeq, a predicted model, not a curated record